GAUGAAGAACGCAGCGAAAUGCGAUAAGUAGUGUGAAUUGCAGAAUUCAGUGAAUCAUCGAAUCUUUGAACGCACAUUGCGCCCCUUGGUAUUCCAUGGGGCAUGCCUGUUCGAGCGUCAUUUGUACCUUCAAGCUCUGCUUGUGUUGGGUGUUUGUCUCGCCUCUGCGUGUAGACUCGCCUUAAAACAAUUGGCAGCCGGCGUAUUGAUUUCGGAGCGCAGUACAUCUCGCGCUUUGCACUCAUAACGACGACGUCCAAAAGUACAUUUUUACACUCUUGACCUCGGAUCAGGUAGGGAUACCCGCUGAACUUAAGCAUAUCAAUAAGCGGAGGA
This 336-nucleotide unclassified non-coding RNA is filed under the name soil metagenome. RNAcentral describes it as "partial contains 5.8S ribosomal RNA, internal transcribed spacer 2, and large subunit ribosomal RNA". The stretch from base 1 to 120 matches the Rfam family "5.8S ribosomal RNA", at positions 35 to 154 of the family's 154-position model. The record is from RNAcentral.